RNAcentral lists this ribosomal RNA (254 nucleotides) under uncultured bacterium. RNAcentral describes it as "partial 16S ribosomal RNA". It matches the Rfam family "Bacterial small subunit ribosomal RNA", at positions 524 to 776 of the family's 1533-position model. The record is from RNAcentral.
UACAGAGGGUGCAAGCGUUAAUCGGAAUUACUGGGCGUAAAGGGCUCGUAGGCGGCCAACUAAGUCAGACGUGAAAUCCCUCGGCUUAACCGGGGAACUGCGUCUGAUACUGGAUGGCUUGAGUUUGGGAGAGGGAUGCGGAAUUCCAGGUGUAGCGGUGAAAUGCGUAGAUAUCUGGAGGAACACCGGUGGCGAAGGCGGCAUCCUGGACCAACACUGACGCUGAGUGAGCGAAAGCCAGGGGAGCAAACGGG